AUUUGUAUGUAGACACGGAGCUAAACUGUGCAACAAAGAAACUGAACUACUGGGAACUCUUAAAGCCAGUAUAACCACAACAUAAUAUCUAAAUAAUAAUAUAUGGUAUAAGGUUAAAACCUAAGUACUAAGAUAAUAGACAAUCAGUAGCUGAGCCUGAAAAGGAAAGUUCAAUGACUAUCCUUCGUGAGGGGAGUACAAUACAAGUGAUUGGUAUUGGAAGUGGUUUUGCCUAAGGUGUUGAAAUACACUAUGGAUAAGAUAUAGUCUGUGCUUGUUAGAGAUAACAAG
This 291-nucleotide non-coding RNA is filed under the name Fusobacterium sp. CM21. The record is from RNAcentral. Lineage: Bacteria; Fusobacteriati; Fusobacteriota; Fusobacteriia; Fusobacteriales; Fusobacteriaceae.